UCUGCACAGAACACACAGGAACACUGAAUAUUAAUAAGAGGAUAAAACAUGAAAAUCAAGAAUACUCAAUAACUCAAUAAAUGAGAAACCUAAAGUUCUUCUGGAAUCACAAAGUACUGUCUCCUUUAUCUUUUUCUCAGAGGUCAGUAAACUGGGAAUUCUGGUAAAAUAAGACUAUAGGAAGCAUUUAUAUAUUUAUCAGGUAAUUAUCUGGAAGUCAUUCAGCAAACAUACUUCCGAACUGCCCCAGUUUUUCAGUUGUCAUAUUUUAGUACAGGUAAAAUAUGUUAGUACACUCACCUAGCAGUGCUAGGACUAUUGACUGGACUUGUGUUUGUCACUUGUUUUUUCAUGAGUUACAUUAAUGGAUUUCCACUUGAUAAACCAACUUACAAAUUGUAGGAUAAAAUGUACUUGGCCAUGAUAUGUAAGAAUAUAUAUAUAUAUUCUUUUUAUAUAUUAUUAGGACUUUUGCAUCUAUGUUCAUUGGAAAUGCUGGUCUGUAGCUUUCUUCUAAUAUCUCUGUCUGGUGGUGGUAUCAAGAUAAUGCUGCCACAUAAAGUCAGUUGGAAAUUAUUCCCUUCUCCUGUUUUCUAGAAGUUUGUGUAAAUUUGGCUUUAUUUCUUCCGUAGUUGUUUGCUUCAGUAAAUCCAUUUAUGCCUGGAGUUUUCUUUACUGGAAGGUUUUUAACUAAAAAUUCAAUCACUUGAAUUGAUUAGGGCUAUUCAGGCUAUUUACCUUGAGUGCCCUGUGGUAGUUUAGUGUCUUCUAAGGACUCUGUACAGAGUUGUUCAUAAUAUCCCCUAAUUAUCUUUUUAGUCUACAGAAUCUAGGUAAUACACCCCCUUCCUUAUUCCUGAUACUGGUAAUGUGGUUUUUUAUUUUUUUUUUCCCUGAUCAUACUGCUUAGAGGUUUCUUAAAUUUAUCUCUUCAAAGAACUAGCAUUUGGCUUUUUAUUUAUUUCUGCUUCCAUUAUUAUCUUCUUUUGUCUGCUUAAUUUGCUCUUUGCACUUCUUAAAGAGGAAGCUUAUAUUACCAACAGAACCUUUCUUCUUUUCUACAAUGAGCAUUUAAAGCUAUAAAUUUCCCUCUAAACACACCUUUAGUUGCCUCCCAUGAAAUCUGAUAUUUUGAUAAACAGUUUACUCUUGACCAACAUGGGUUUGAACUAUGUGGGUUCACUUAAAGGCCAAUUUUUUGGAUAGAUUCAGUAUAGUACUGCAGAAGGAUUUUCUCUUAUGAUUUUAUUUUACUAUAUUUUUUCUCUUCCUCAUGAUUUUAGUAACAAUUAACUUUCUCUAGCUUACUUUAUUCCAAGAAUGCAGUAUACAAUAGGCAGAACAUAUAAAAUAUGUGUUAAUCACUAUUUAUAUUAUCGGUAAGACUUGUGGUCAAGAGUAGCUAUAAGUAGGUACAUUUUUGGGGGAGUCAAAAGAUAUACAAGGAUUUUCAGCUGCAUGGGGGGUCAGCCUCCCCAACCCUUGUGUUGUUCAAAGGUCGUCUGUAUUAUGUUUUCAUUCUUAUAAUUUCCCAUGAUUUCUCCUACUUACUGAUUCGAUUUAUAAUAAUUAUAGUCCUUGACUUGUGAUGGUUUGAUGAAUGAUUUUUUGACUAGUGAUGGUGUGAAAGUGAUUAACAUUUAAUAAAAAUUGUACUUUGAAUUUUCA
This is a long non-coding RNA of Mustela lutreola (European mink), 1668 nucleotides long. RefSeq lists it as uncharacterized. The transcript has 2 exons. The record is from RefSeq and is a predicted model, not a curated record. Lineage: Eukaryota; Metazoa; Chordata; Mammalia; Carnivora; Mustelidae.